GUGCUCUCUUCGGCAGCACAUCUACUAAAAACUGGAAUGACACAGAGAUCAAUGUGGCCCCUGCACAGGGAUGACACACAAAUUCGUGAAGAAUUCCAUUUUUUU
Small nuclear RNA from Phyllostomus hastatus (greater spear-nosed bat), 105 nucleotides. NCBI's taxonomy places the organism in Eukaryota, Metazoa, Chordata, Mammalia, Chiroptera, Phyllostomidae. The record is from RefSeq and is a predicted model, not a curated record.